GAAAAUUUUAUAGAAAAAUAAAUUAUUAUUUUGGUCUAAGAAGUAGCAGAUGAAAUCACGGCAUAAUAAUUUUUUGCACAAAAACGUUAGGAGCAUAGAGGCAUUGUUCUGAAAUAAUUUCCGUAGUGAUACACGUCACCAUUCUUUUAGCAUACUGUGGCAUUUGUAAGGGCAAUCAAAUUACAUUACUAUGUUAUAUGCUACAUGAUGAUAUAAGAAUACUAUUGUAGGACUUAUGUUAACUCUAUGGUACCAUUCCAGAGCAAAAAAUUCAUGUUUACUGCUUAGAUAUCUGAAUAAAGUUCUGCAAGCAGGUGUUCUGAACUUAAUCAGGGGGAGAGGAACCUGAAGUUGAUUUUCUUAGAUCACUUUCUAUGGCAGAUCCAAUUCUUACAAGGACGGAAGAAGCUUUGAGAUGGGCAAUGAGAGCCCUGACCCGAAAAUAAAACGACAAGAGGCAUUCAGUCAAGCCUCAGGUUUGACGACAACAAAAUUAUGCCCAGUCAAGCCUCAAAAUAUGCAAUACCGAAGACCUAUGUGCCCAAAAUAAUAAAUCAGCGUUUACAUGUGUCGACAUGUCGUUCUUGCAUCUAUUACUUCAGUAGACAAAGGUGUCAAAUUCUAUCAGUCUGGCUCAGGAUACAUAUAGGCCGAAAUAGUCUUCAAAACUGCAUGUAUAUAUUCUGAAAUAGCUGAAAUCAGUUGUGGGUAUAAAUGUACUUUGUCUCAUCUCUUCAAGAACCAUUGGUGAUUAUUCCCAUCUCCCUAUUUGCCUGCUGUAUUGCCCCACUCAGAAUGGAGUCGGCACGCUCUAGAUAUUUGGCUCUGAGGUAGAGAAGGUGCUCUGCUUCACUGGGAAUCUACUUUCGGAUGGUGGUGUCUGAACAAUUGAUGUUUGAUUACACCUCUACUUAUAUCCUGUAGUUUGCUUCCGCGUCAGUUUUCUGGGCUGAGAAGUUUGAGUUCUGUAAUGGUUUUGCCUGGGUGUCUUGGCAUGCUCCUGCGUGGGCACUUAUGUUACAAUCUGUAAUCGAUCUAAAAAUGCUAUAACUGGUGUUUUUUUUUUUUACUUUUGAACUACAGAUGGUUUGUGGGACAUUGUUACCUCUUAUAUUUCAAGUUUUCUUUAAUAAUACAGUACCAUAUUUUA
Long non-coding RNA from Lolium rigidum, 1150 nucleotides. RefSeq lists it as uncharacterized. The record is from RefSeq and is a predicted model, not a curated record. The transcript is spliced from 3 exons. Lineage: Eukaryota; Viridiplantae; Streptophyta; Magnoliopsida; Poales; Poaceae.